This 433-nucleotide ribosomal RNA is filed under the name uncultured bacterium. RNAcentral describes it as "partial 16S ribosomal RNA". It matches the Rfam family "Bacterial small subunit ribosomal RNA", at positions 29 to 507 of the family's 1533-position model. The record is from RNAcentral.
AACGAACGCUGGCGGCAUGCCUAACACAUGCAAGUCGAACGAGACCUUCGGGCCUAGUGGCGCACGGGUGCGUAACGCGUGGGAACCUGCCCUUAGGUUCGGAAUAACUCCCCGAAAGGGGUGCUAAUACCGGAUAAUGUCUUCGGACCAAAGAUUUAUCGCCUUUGGAUGGGCCCGCGUUGGAUUAGCUAGUUGGUAGGGUAAAAGCCUACCAAGGCGACGAUCCAUAGCUGGUCUGAGAGGAUGAUCAGCCACACUGGGACUGAGACACGGCCCAGAAUCCUACGGGAGGCAGCAGUGGGGAAUAUUGGAAAACGGGCGAAAGCCUGAUCCAGCAAUGCCGCGUGAGUGAUGAAGGCCUUAGGGUUGUAAAGCUCUUUUACCCGGGAUGAUAAUGACAGUACCGGGAGAAUAAGCACCGGCUAACUCCGUG